This 755-nucleotide long non-coding RNA is filed under the name Coturnix japonica (Japanese quail). Its description in RNAcentral is "lncRNA (ENSCJPG00005004936.1)". The record is from RNAcentral. Lineage: Eukaryota; Metazoa; Chordata; Aves; Galliformes; Phasianidae.
CACAAUGCUCAUCAUGACAUCAUAGCGUUUCCUAGGAGGACCAGGUCUAUGCCUGUGUACUUGCACACUCAUUUGUGAGUUGGAUCAUGGAUCAUGGCAGGUUUGGGAACAGUAAGUACUUUGCAAGAAACUCGUGUGGCUGAGGUCAAAGAAAUUAUUAUGUCUGCGCAUUCUUGGCAGAUGCUUGGGGAGCUGUGCAGAGCUUUCUUCUUUUGCAAAGCAAAGCGAAGUUCAUUCCAGACUGGGGCUGUCCAGAGAAGAGACGCUCUAAACGCCACAGAGAUCACAGGAAUGGGGACUUCAGAGGGACUGUAUACUAAGCAAUGAGCUUAACACAAAUCAGAGUAUAUAUGAUUCCUUGUCCAGAGAGUGUCCCAAACGCAGACCAUGGGUGUUGUGUGCAGAACUUUCUUGGUUUCAAGGAUUUCUCACCUUGGAUUUCAAGGUGAGAAUGUUGAAAUCACUGGAAUUCUGAAGUCAGAGACCUUGUUUUGCAGAACGACUCUUCAGUUCCUUCAGCCAAGUGGUCUGGGUGCUCCGCUUCAUCAGAGUGAAGAGGGGAUGCUUUGAAUCUCUGGGAAUAUGAUGUUUCUUUUAUCUGUUCACAGACCUGUUCUUUUAUCUGUUCCAUUAUGUGCUGCCAGAAAGAAGCAAGAAAACUGUAACUACUAAAACAGCCAGUGUUCCUCACUGUGCCUUGGGUUCCAUGCCUUGAGUUUCACAGCUAGGAAACAUGAUCUGCCUGGGCUGAAGGG